UUUCCGUAGGUGAACCUGCGGAAGGAUCAUUAUUGUAUAAUCAAUGUACUAGUUCUGUCCCUUACCGGAAAGUGCAUGCACCCCCGAAUGCCCUCAACCACAGCCAUCUCACCCCUAUGUACACCACCGCGUGGUUCGCCAUUUCGCUUAUUCAGAGUGUGGCUUUCGUUUUCACUAAAACUUUUAAAGAAUUUUAGUUUGUUUUUUUUAUUUUUUCUAAAAACAAAUUUAUACAACUUUCAACUACGGAUCUCUUUUCUCUCACAACGAAGAAGAACC
RNAcentral lists this unclassified non-coding RNA (279 nucleotides) under plant metagenome. RNAcentral's name for it is "partial contains small subunit ribosomal RNA, internal transcribed spacer 1, and 5.8S ribosomal RNA". The record is from RNAcentral.